UCGCCUAAAAACUUAAUGAGCAAAUCCGCGGGAUUCUCUGAAGUGCCAAUCUUCUCAUCUCCAACUACGCCUUUUGCAACCUCUGUUGCAUCAGAACGACAACUUGUCGUAGAGCGAAACUGCUGGAGCGAUCAAACUUCUCGAUCUCAAAUUCGUCGACGUCUUAAACACCCAAACAAACACUCAGGCUCUAACACCAGUUUGUUAGGACAAAACUGAAAAGAUCUAGUUCGUCGGGUGCGAAAAUACCAAAAGAGAUCUGAGAAAAAGAGAAUAAAAAUAAAGCACACGAUAUUUACGUGCAUGGUUUGGCCGCCGACCUACGUCCAGGGGGGAAGACGGAGCGGAGAUCUUCAUUAUAAUCAAAGUGGUGUACAAAAUAUGCCUCUCUCACAAAACCCUAAUCCCAAAAAAUUCACCCAUAUUCCCUCUCUCAUCUUCCGCACUAAAUCAAUAGCAGAAAUAGUAUAUUUAUAAUAGUGGCUAAAUCUUAAUACGAUUAGGAAUACAAACCCACUAAGAUUAGGAAUAUCUCGAUAAAUUAGGCAUAAUCUAAACUUAACUUAAUGGGAUAAUUAAAACAGAAUAGGGUUAGAAGACAUUGCGGUACUAGAAUUCGAGACAUAUUUAACAAUCUCCACCUUGACUUGAAUUCUAUGUCUUCUCCAUCAAAAUCCCAAGAGCUCCUGAAGUGCUACUGCACAUGCGAACAAGUUUACGGAAUACUUGACCUUGAUCGCCUAAAAACUUAAUGAGCAAAUCCGCGGGAUUCUCUAAAGUGCCAAUCUUCUCAUCUCCAACUACGCCUUUUGCAACCUCUGUUGCAUCAGAACGACAACUUGUCGUAGAGCGAAACUGCUGGAGCGAUCAAACUUCUCGAUCUCAAAUUCGUCGACGUCUUAAACACCCAAACGAACACUCCGGCUCUGAUACCAGUUUGUUAGAACUAAAACCGAGAAGAUCUAGUUCGUCGGAUGCGAAAAUACCAAAAGAGAUCCGAGAAAGAGAGAAGAAAAAUAAAGCACACAAUAUUUACGUGGUUCGGCCAACGGCCUACGUCCACGGGCGAAGACGGAGCGGAGAUCUUCAUUAUAAUCAAAGUGGUGUACAAAAUAUGCCUCUCUCACAAAACCCUAAUCCCAAAAAAUACACCCAUAUUCCCUCUCUCAUCUUCCGCACUAAAUCAAUAGCAGAAAUGGUAUAUUUAUAAUAGUGGCUAAAUCUUAAUACGAUUAGGAAUACAAACCCACUAAGAUUAGGAAUAUCUCGAUAAAUUAGGCAUAAUCUAAACUUAACUUAAUGGGAUAAUUAAAACAGAAUAGGGUUAGAAGACCUUGCGGUACUAGAAUUCGAGACAUAUUUAACAAUCUCCACCUUGACUUGAAUUCUAUGUCUUCUCCAUCAAAAUCCCAAGAGCUCCUGAAGUGCUACUGCACAUGCGAACAAGUUUACGGAAUACUUGACCUUGAUCGCCUAAAAACUUAAUGAGCAAAUCCGCGGGAUUCUCUGAAGUGCCAAUCUUCUCAUCUCCAACUACGCCUUUUGCAACCUCUGUUGCAUCAGAACGACAACUUGUCGUAGAGCGAAACUGCUGGAGCGAUCAAACUUCUCGAUCUCAAAUUCGUCGACGUCUUAAACACCCAAACGAACAUUCCAGCACUGAUACCAUUUUGUUAGAACUAAAACCGAGAAGAUUUAAUUUGUCGGAUGCGAAAAUACCAAAAGAAAUCCGAAAAAGAGAGAAGAAAAAUAAAGCACACAAUAUUUACGUGGUUCGGCCAACGGCCUACGUCCACGGGCGAAGACGGAGCGGAAAUCUUGAUUAGAAUCAAAGUGGUGUACAAAAUAUGCCUCUCUCACAAAACCCUAAUCCCAAAAAAUACACACAUAUUUCCUCUCUCAUCUUCCGCACUAAAUCAAUAGCAGAAAUGGUAUAUUUAUAAUAGUGGCUAAAUCUUAAUACGAUUAGGAAUACAAACCCACUAAGAUUAGGAAUAUCUCGAUAAAUUAGGCAUAAUUUAAACUUAACUUAAUGGGAUAAUUGAAACAGAAUAGGGUUAGAAGAUCUUGCUGUACUAGAAUUCGAGACAUAUUUAACAUGAUGCAACUAUAAAUAAUUUGUUUGAUUGCAUAUAAUUGAAAAGUACAUUCACACAUUUUAUUACUAUAUACAUAUUUUAUAUUAUAAAAUAUGAUUAAGGAGAUAAAAGCUUAUCUUUAAUUUAUAAUAACUACUUUCUCCAACUGCUGCAACUGUUACAACAAUUAUAUUUAAAACAUCAAGUCAAUCGCUAAAUUUAAAUCUGUAUGCAAUUACAAAUACAAUAUAGUUGCAGCUACAAGCUAUCUA
Molecule: long non-coding RNA, 2350 nt
Filed under: Ananas comosus (pineapple)
Lineage: Eukaryota; Viridiplantae; Streptophyta; Magnoliopsida; Poales; Bromeliaceae
Description: long non-coding RNA (ACOM_LNC011496)
Source: RNAcentral